Molecule: ribosomal RNA, 2934 nt
Filed under: Bacillus velezensis
Lineage: Bacteria; Bacillati; Bacillota; Bacilli; Caryophanales; Bacillaceae
Description: bacterial LSU rRNA
Rfam family: Bacterial large subunit ribosomal RNA
Source: RNAcentral
CGGUUAAGUUAGAAAGGGCGCACGGUGGAUGCCUUGGCACUAGGAGCCGAUGAAGGACGGGACGAACACCGAUAUGCUUCGGGGAGCUGUAAGCAAGCUUUGAUCCGGAGAUUUCCGAAUGGGGAAACCCACCACUCGUAAUGGAGUGGUAUCCAUAUCUGAAUACAUAGGAUAUGAGAAGGCAGACCCGGGGAACUGAAACAUCUAAGUACCCGGAGGAAGAGAAAGCAAAUGCGAUUCCCUGAGUAGCGGCGAGCGAAACGGGACCAGCCCAAACCAAGAGGCUUGCCUCUUGGGGUUGUAGGACACUCUGUACGGAGUUACAAAGGAACGAGGUAGAUGAAGAGGUCUGGAAAGGCCCGCCACAGAAGGUAACAGCCCUGUAGUCAAAACUUCGUUCUCUCCUGAGUGGAUCCUGAGUACGGCGGAACACGUGAAAUUCCGUCGGAAUCCGGGAGGACCAUCUCCCAAGGCUAAAUACUCCCUAGUGACCGAUAGUGAACCAGUACCGUGAGGGAAAGGUGAAAAGCACCCCGGAAGGGGAGUGAAAGAGAUCCUGAAACCGUGUGCCUACAAGUAGUCAGAGCCCGUUAACGGGUGAUGGCGUGCCUUUUGUAGAAUGAACCGGCGAGUUACGAUCCCGUGCAAGGUUAAGCAGAAGAUGCGGAGCCGCAGCGAAAGCGAGUCUGAAUAGGGCGAAUUGAGUACGUGGUCGUAGACCCGAAACCAGGUGAUCUACCCAUGUCCAGGGUGAAGUUCAGGUAACACUGAAUGGAGGCCCGAACCCACGCACGUUGAAAAGUGCGGGGAUGAGGUGUGGGUAGGGGUGAAAUGCCAAUCGAACCUGGAGAUAGCUGGUUCUCUCCGAAAUAGCUUUAGGGCUAGCCUCAAGGUAAGAGUCUCGGAGGUAGAGCACUGAUUGGACUAGGGGCCCCUACCGGGUUACCGAAUUCAGUCAAACUCCGAAUGCCGAUGACUUAUCCUUGGGAGUCAGACUGCGAGUGAUAAGAUCCGUAGUCGAAAGGGAAACAGCCCAGACCGCCAGCUAAGGUCCCAAAGUAUACGUUAAGUGGAAAAGGAUGUGGAGUUGCUUAGACAACCAGGAUGUUGGCUUAGAAGCAGCCACCAUUUAAAGAGUGCGUAAUAGCUCACUGGUCGAGUGACUCUGCGCCGAAAAUGUACCGGGGCUAAACGUAUCACCGAAGCUGCGGACUGUUCUUCGAACAGUGGUAGGAGAGCGUUCUAAGGGCUGUGAAGCAAGACCGGAAGGACUUGUGGAGCGCUUAGAAGUGAGAAUGCCGGUAUGAGUAGCGAAAGAGGGGUGAGAAUCCCCUCCACCGAAUGCCUAAGGUUUCCUGAGGAAGGCUCGUCCGCUCAGGGUUAGUCGGGACCUAAGCCGAGGCCGAAAGGCGUAGGCGAUGGAUAACAGGUUGAUAUUCCUGUACCACCUCCUCACCAUUUGAGCAAUGGGGGGACGCAGGAGGAUAGGGUAAGCGCGGUAUUGGAUAUCCGCGUCCAAGCAGUUAGGCUGGGAAAUAGGCAAAUCCGUUUCCCGUGAAGGCUGAGCUGUGAUGGCGAGCGAAUUAUAGUAGCGAAGUUCCUGAUUCCACACUGCCAAGAAAAGCCUCUAGCGAGGUGAGAGGUGCCCGUACCGCAAACCGACACAGGUAGGCGAGGAGAGAAUCCUAAGGUGAUCGAGAGAACUCUCGUUAAGGAACUCGGCAAAAUGACCCCGUAACUUCGGGAGAAGGGGUGCUCUGUUAGGGUGCAAGCCCGAGAGAGCCGCAGUGAAUAGGCCCAGGCGACUGUUUAGCAAAAACACAGGUCUCUGCGAAGCCGUAAGGCGAAGUAUAGGGGCUGACGCCUGCCCGGUGCUGGAAGGUUAAGAGGAGCGCUUAGCGUAAGCGAAGGUGCGAAUUGAAGCCCCAGUAAACGGCGGCCGUAACUAUAACGGUCCUAAGGUAGCGAAAUUCCUUGUCGGGUAAGUUCCGACCCGCACGAAAGGCGCAACGAUCUGGGCACUGUCUCAACGAGAGACUCGGUGAAAUUAUAGUACCUGUGAAGAUGCAGGUUACCCGCGACAGGACGGAAAGACCCCGUGGAGCUUUACUGCAGCCUGAUAUUGAAUGUUGGUACAGCUUGUACAGGAUAGGUAGGAGCCUUGGAAACCGGAGCGCCAGCUUCGGUGGAGGCAUCGGUGGGAUACUACCCUGGCUGUAUUGACCUUCUAACCCGCCGCCCUUAUCGGGCGGGGAGACAGUGUCAGGUGGGCAGUUUGACUGGGGCGGUCGCCUCCUAAAAGGUAACGGAGGCGCCCAAAGGUUCCCUCAGAAUGGUUGGAAAUCAUUCGCAGAGUGUAAAGGCACAAGGGAGCUUGACUGCGAGACCUACAAGUCGAGCAGGGACGAAAGUCGGGCUUAGUGAUCCGGUGGUUCCGCAUGGAAGGGCCAUCGCUCAACGGAUAAAAGCUACCCCGGGGAUAACAGGCUUAUCUCCCCCAAGAGUCCACAUCGACGGGGAGGUUUGGCACCUCGAUGUCGGCUCAUCGCAUCCUGGGGCUGUAGUCGGUCCCAAGGGUUGGGCUGUUCGCCCAUUAAAGCGGUACGCGAGCUGGGUUCAGAACGUCGUGAGACAGUUCGGUCCCUAUCCGUCGCGGGCGCAGGAAAUUUGAGAGGAGCUGUCCUUAGUACGAGAGGACCGGGAUGGACGCACCGCUGGUGUACCAGUUGUUCUGCCAAGGGCAUCGCUGGGUAGCUAUGUGCGGACGGGAUAAGUGCUGAAAGCAUCUAAGCAUGAAGCCCCCCUCAAGAUGAGAUUUCCCAUUCCGCAAGGAAGUAAGAUCCCUGAAAGAUGAUCAGGUUGAUAGGUCUGAGGUGGAAGUGUGGCGACACAUGGAGCUGACAGAUACUAAUCGAUCGAGGACUUAACCAAUUU